GUCGCGUGGAGGAUCUAGUCUGUCCUCCUCAAUCCUUAUCCAUGGCGACGACGGUGGGCUCGAGGCGACGACGGAGAGGUCAAACUUCAGAUAUUAUCUUCUCUGUGGAUAUCGCCUCCCUUUCUUCUCUCCAUUUGUUGCCCCUCUCCUCCAGCAUGCCCUUCCCUACCAUGGCGCCUUCUCUCUCUCCUUCCCCUCCCAUGGUGCCCAUCCCUCCAUUCCCAUGACACCCCUCCCCCUCCCUUCUUCAUAUGGCGCCUCAUUACCCUCUAUUCUGGUGUCUGUGAGUCUGUCCCUCUCUCUUCUUGAACCCUAGAACACAAGCAGAUCUCAAAUCCUAACUCUCUCUGUUAUUGUAUAGGUUCAUCCGGGUUCAAUUUUGCAGAUCUGUAGCAAUCAAGUCCUAAUCCCUUUCUGCUGCUUCAGCAUCACACGCAGUUGCAUCCAUGUCUUCUCUCCCCACCACCCGCCAGCUAACGUCACGCCUCCACAGAUUUCUUUUCUUUGUUACAAGCCUGCGUCCUCUUCCAGGUGUGAGUCCUCUACCUCGAGACCUCGUUGGGUUACACCACCGCGGGCACGGUACGUAUCAAUGUUGAUACUACUAUUUUCGCAAUAAUCGCUGCUUGGGAGUGGGUGUUUUUUAUCUGUGAUCACCAUGGAUGUUGUGUGCUGGCAUGCAAUGAACGUUUUGAAGGCGUAACAUCACCUGAACUUGCUGAAGUAGUGGCCUGGCCAUUAGGCGUGUUCACAUUUUCCAGAGAUCAUGGUCACAUGUUUGUGCUUCUUAAUUCUGAUUGUCUCUCUCUGACUUUCAGUGCAUUCAUUCUGAUGCUCAGGAUCUAUCUUUGUUGGGCUCGGUGAUAGCUGAUAUAAAGUCUCUGGUGGCUGCUGUAUCUUCAAGCAUGUUCAUCGCGACUUGAAUGUAGCGGCACAUCUAUUAGCUCGCAAUAGUGAACAUUCAGUUUGUAAUAUUUCUGUUGAUGUAAUCCCCUGGUGUAUCUGGGAAGUACUUUAGAAUGAUGUUACUUAAUCAAUAAAGUGCCUGACA
Long non-coding RNA from Triticum aestivum (bread wheat), 1051 nucleotides. RefSeq lists it as uncharacterized. The transcript is spliced from 2 exons. The record is from RefSeq and is a predicted model, not a curated record. Lineage: Eukaryota; Viridiplantae; Streptophyta; Magnoliopsida; Poales; Poaceae.